RNAcentral lists this ribosomal RNA (235 nucleotides) under uncultured bacterium. RNAcentral's name for it is "partial 16S rRNA". It matches the Rfam family "Bacterial small subunit ribosomal RNA", at positions 505 to 739 of the family's 1533-position model. The record is from RNAcentral.
GUGCCAGCAGCCGCGGUAAUACGUAGGUGGCAAGCGUUGUCCGGAUUUACUGGGCGUAAAGGAUGCGUAGGCGGAUAUUUAAGUGAGAUGUGAAAUCCCCGGGCUUAACUUGGGGGCUGCAUUCCAAACUGGAUGUCUAGAGUGCAGGAGAGGAAAGCAGAAUUCCUAGUGUAGCGGUGUAAUGCGUAGAGAUUAUGAAAAAUACCAGUGGCGCAGGCGGCUUCCUGGACUGUAA